AGGCCCUCCACUUGAGUGAAUCCCUUGUGUAAACAAGAAUGAGCUUCAAGGGUAAUGAAUCUCUAAAUCCUUCCUUCUCUUUAAUGUUGUUGAAGAGUCUCAUGGUUCACCAUUCACUAGGCUUUGAAAGUCAAGGGUUUUAGAAUUGUUUUUGAAUGCAUGCCUACUUUAAUAUGUUAAUAGUUUGCCUAUGUGUUCAAAUAUUCUCACAUGUUCUUAGCUAGGACAAAAUUUUUCCUUCACUUGCACGUUCAUAUAUGCUUUCAUAUUUUUUAGACUUAUAUAUUAAUGAUUAUGAAUUUUAUUUAUUUUGAAUUUCCUUAAAUAUACUAUUCAUGAGGGUUUGUAUGGUUUUAAAAAUUCAAACAACGAUGUACCCAUAUUCAGCGUAUGUGACAACCUGUCCCAAAUUUUAUUAUUUUAUAAAUCUUAAAAUGUGAAAUUUACGAGAAUACCCUAGAGGUGAGGGUAUUGAUUUUCGUUGAUCGUUAGUUCAUGACGCGUAUGAACUAUUACCUUACCAUAUUCCAAAAGUACGUUGGUAAGGAUUGUUAUUUAUUAUCUUAUUCAUUUCUUAUUAUUAUAUUUUUUUUAUGUAAAGGGUUGUGGGAGAAAAUAGAAGAAAAAAGAGAAAGGGGAAUGGCUGCUUGAUGGCAGUGAAAGAAAGGGAGAGGAAGGAGAUAGGCACUGCCCAAUUAGAAAUGAGGAGAGAGGGAGAGUGAUGAAUGGGAGAGAAGAACCAGGAGGGAAAUGAGGGAUGUUUCUUGACCCGUGCAACCUGUUUCCUCAAAUCGGCGGCUCCUCGCCGUUUCUCGUCCAAUUUUCCGACGAAUUAGACCUAUAAACUACUCCCAAUCAUCACCUUGGCCCUUUCUCUUCUUGUUCCACCAAAAAUUAGAGGGAAUUUGAUAGUAUUUUGGUACACAAAAUAGUAAUGGGUGCAGUUGGAGACCUUGCCCAAAAUCCAUCAAUUGUGAAACCAUCUCCUUCAAUUACCACCAUUAGAACACUCCUCUAGAACCCAGGAACAACGCCCAGGCAAUGGUCGAGGCGUCGGAGUGAGUAUGGAGGUCGAAUUGAAGCACACCAUUUUCUAGGGUUUCGGCAGGUUUGAGCAAAAUUGGAGCUUUUCUCGGCCAAAUUAGACUUGGCCGCAUGCGACGAUGGUUCGUGAUGUCUCGAUAUGCAUGCUAGGGAGUUGUGGCAUGAACCUCAGGUGAGUGGGUCUUUUCCAUUCUAUCGUGUAUUAUAUAUAUGUAUAUAUAUGAUUGACAAUUCCAUAAAUGUUUAUAAAUUGAUUAUUGCUUAUGAUUACUGUGAAUGCUUUGAAAUACUAUUGUGAACUAUGAAUGGCUUGAUCCCUGUUCAAGGUACAUAGGCAGUCUAACGAGACUUUAGAUGCAGUAAUACAAUAAUUGAAACAAAAACCUUGUUUUGGAAUUAAGCAAUGUGAAGGAAAUCGGUAAAAAUAUGAGAUUUAACCUUAUAUUUUUGUGAUUGGAUGUUGGUCAUAAAUCAAUGUGGAAGGAAUUAAGAAACUGAAAUAAGGAAACAUAAUUAAUGAUAGUUAAUAAACUAGUUUUUAGUUGGACUUAUCCCCGAUAGUUAUUCACAAAAAUAAAUAAUUCGGGAGUAGGGUGUUAUAGUUUAUGCAUUUUUAUUCCACAUUAUAUAUAUGUAUAUGUAUAUAUAAUUGGAAAUGCUAUAACGUGGUUGAGUAUCAUAUUUCAUCGUGGUUUAUCUAUAUGUAUAUUACUUGCACACAAUUAUUAUAAACACUUUGAAGUGCAAAGGUGAACGCAGGACACCCAAGUAAGUUCAGGUGAGUUUAUGGUAUUAGUUGAAAUGAUGGGGUUAUGGUAUGACUACAUGUAUGUUUAGGCAACCUUGUCGUGUAGGUUGCAAUGAUAAGCAACUCUGACACUGUCAUACAAGUUGCCCAUGAAUCGUAUAUGUGACAACAGAUACAAUUAGACCUCAUAAACCUGCACCCCGGUGUUAGUGCUCCCGCCUGUGGCCAGGGCAUAGUCCUUCACGUGAUGUUCACCUCCCGCACCUUAUGCUCACCUUGAAUCUAAGGUAGGUGCACAGUCCUGUCGUACAGACCAGUAUAGGUGGUUCCGACUCGUAGGUGACCUGAGAUUAUUCACACAGUCUUCACGUGAUCAUAGCACUUGAGCGUAUUUAUUUACACCCAGUCUUGUCGUACAUACCACUUUAGGUGGUUCCGACUGGUGUGCAGGUAUACUUAUUGAGCUAUGGAUUAGUCGUACAGGUCACUAGAGGUGACUCCGACUUAUGAGCUAGCAUAUGUGAUGAAAUAUGUGAUGACCUAGCAUAUGUGAUGAGAUACAUGAUGAGUUAGCAUAUGUAAAGAGAUAUGUGAUGAGCUAGCAUAUGUGAUGAGAUAUGUGAUGAGAUAUGUGAUGAGCUAGCAUAUGUGAUGAAAUAUGUGAUGAGGUAGCAUAGGUGAUAAGAUAUGGGUAAUUCGUACAGGCCACCAUAGGUGACUCCAACUUGUGUGCUAGUAUGGGUUAUUAAUCACAUGAUUAUUGAUAUUGCUGAUGAGAUGUUGUGUUGUGGUAUAAUUAUGAAUUUUUUUUUUGGAAAAUAUUUAGGUGUUGUAGUAAGGGGUUAUAAUGUUUUAUAUGGUCUCUAUUAAAAUUUUAAUUCCAGGGCCACUCACCCUUGUUUUGUCUUCACCUUCAAGGUUUUAUUAGCCGACCUUUCUUAUCGUCGAAGAUUCGUGGCGAUUCUUAGUCUUGGAGAUUUUUUUUCGAGGGUACGAUUCUUAGUUCACUCUACUAUACUUGCUUGUGCUCUAACGUCACUUGUCAAGUGGGUUCAUUCCCGCUCACUAGCAUAUUAUGGUAUUUAGGCACUCUUAGGUUUAAAUUUAUUCACAUUUUUUCCACAUCAUCAUACUUUAUGGCUUCGUCACCCUCCAGGUGUCGGACAACACAG
This 2964-nucleotide long non-coding RNA is filed under the name Malus domestica (apple). RNAcentral's name for it is "long non-coding RNA (MDOM_LNC010513)". The record is from RNAcentral. Lineage: Eukaryota; Viridiplantae; Streptophyta; Magnoliopsida; Rosales; Rosaceae.